CUUAGCGUUGCUAAGGCCGAUGGCGACCGGCGGCACGGGUGAGUAACACGUAUCCAACCUGCCGUCUACUCUUGGACAGCCUUCUGAAAGGAAGAUUAAUACAAGAUGGCAUCAUGAGUCCACAUGUUCACAUGAUUAAAGGUAUUCCGGUAGACGAUGGGGAUGCGUUCCAUUAGAUAGUAGGCGGGGUAACGGCCCACCUAGUCUUCGAUGGAUAGGGGUUCUGAGAGGAAGGUCCCCCACAUUGGAACUGAGACACGGUCCAAACUCCUACGGGAGGCAGCAGUGAGGAAUAUUGAUCAAUGGGCGAGAGCCUGAACCAGCCAAGUAGCGUGAAGGAUGACUGCCCUAUGGGUUGUAAACUUCUUUUAUAAAGGAAUAAAGUCGGGUAUGCCUACCCGUUUGCAUGUACUUUAUGAAUAAGGAUCGGCUAACUCCGUGCCAUCAGCCGCGGUAAUACGGAGGAUCCGAGCGUUAUCCGGAUUUAUUGCGUUUAAAGGGAGCGUAGAUGGAUGUUUAAGUCAGUUGUGAAACUUUGCGGCUUCAACCGUAAAAUUGCAGUUGAUACUGGAUAUCGUGAGUGCAGUUGAGGCAGGGGGAAUUCGUGGUGUAGCGGUGAAAUGCUUAGAUAUCACGAAGAACUCCGAUUGCGAAGGCAGCCUGNUAAGCUGCAACUGACAUUGAGGCUCGAAAGUGUGGGUAUCAAACAGGAUUAGAUACCCUGGUAGUCCACACGGUAAACGAUGAAUACUCGCUGUUUGCGAUAUACAGCAAGCGGCCAAGCGAAAGCGUUAAGUAUUCCACCUGGGGAGUACGCCGGCAACGGUGAAACUCAAAGGAAUUGACGGGGGCCCGCACAAGCGGAGGAACAUGUGGUUUAAUUCGAUGAUACGCGAGGAACCUUACCCGGGCUUAAAUUGCAGAUGAAUUACGGUGAAAGCCGUAAGCCGCAAGGCAUCUGUGAAGGUGCUGCAUGGUUGUCGUCAGCUCGUGCCGUGAGGUGUCGGCUUAAGUGCCAUAACGAGCGCAACCCUUGUUGUCAGUUACUAACAGGUUCUGCUGAGGACUCUGACAAGACUGCCAUCGUAAGAUGUGAGGAAGGUGGGGAUGACGUCAAAUCAGCACGGCCCUUACGUCCGGGGCUACACACGUGUUACAAUGGGGGGUACAGAGGGCCGCUACCACGCGAGUGGAUGCCAAUCCCAAAAACCUCUCUCAGUUCGGACUGGAGUCUGCAACCCGACUCCACGAAGCUGGAUUCGCUAGUAAUCGCGCAUCAGCCACGGCGCGGUGAAUACGUUCCCGGGCCUUGUACACACCGCC
Molecule: ribosomal RNA, 1323 nt
Filed under: uncultured bacterium
Lineage: Bacteria
Description: bacterial SSU rRNA
Rfam family: Bacterial small subunit ribosomal RNA
Source: RNAcentral